RNAcentral lists this non-coding RNA (21 nucleotides) under Caenorhabditis elegans. The record is from RNAcentral. Lineage: Eukaryota; Metazoa; Nematoda; Chromadorea; Rhabditida; Rhabditidae.
UUAAUAAGACUAGCCUAUAAU